Long non-coding RNA from Scatophagus argus, 1554 nucleotides. RefSeq lists it as uncharacterized. The record is from RefSeq and is a predicted model, not a curated record. The transcript has 3 exons. NCBI's taxonomy places the organism in Eukaryota, Metazoa, Chordata, Actinopteri, Scatophagidae.
GCUCUCAGGGGGCAUCUAAACGUAGGAUCCUUUGGGUCCUGUGCAUUGAGUAACAGUAGGGAGACUCCACCUGGUGGGAAGGUGGAAACAGCAAUGCCAAGAGUGCAAGUCUGUCCUACGAUGCCCCAGACCAGAUACUCGUGAAAUCAUCGGACGUGUCUGAUGCCUGCUUCACCUGUGUGGGCUGACCGGGGGGAAAAAAGGUGUUUUUUCCCCACUGAAAUCCUGUGGAAGGGCGAUUCAUCUUUUCACCAGCCAUAUCAGUGUCCCUGAGCCUGACAGACAAUCUCUGUCUUGCUCAGGGACACUCCAGCAGAACAAGACAUUUGCUUUCGUAGCUGACUUGAGCUCUUUCAGAGGUCUGGCUCCAGGAGGGGCCGUGUGGACCUUUAUCUUUAUCGUAAUGUGUCAAAGGACAAGACACGUGAAAACACUGAGGCUGUGUGAAAGGUGUUGUUUGUAGUGAUGAACCAGCAGACAAUUAGUUCAUGUAGUUUAAAUGAAAAAAAAGGAAAGAAAUCCACUGUGUUGACAUUCAGGAAAUUACAUCCAUAUGCUCAGCAAAACUGAUGGAGCUGCUCAUGUUGUAGCUCCGAGUUAUUAAUUCCUGACUUAACAUACAGGCUGCAUUCGCACUACUGUAAAUCAGAUCUCGGUCUGAGUAGCCUUUCUUUUAUUACCUGAGGAUGGGAAUGAAUCUCCGUGGAGCCAUCCUAUUUAAGUCAGGGGAUUCACAUGCUAAUGGCUGUGUUGAGAGCAAAGGCAAAGCUGUAAAUGGAAACCAGGAGAAGAGAGACUUCUGAACUUCCGAGCAUGAACCGAGGAGGGUGUGAAAAUGUAUGCUGCAGCUUAACACCCACAUAAUCAUAGUUUCUUUCCAGGUGUACAGCAACUCCAGGAGAUGAAUUGGAUAGAAGACAGUCCAGUAAUUAGUGGCAGGCAGACACACUGCAGGCUUUGCUGUUAUAUCCUAUUUGCUGAGAGAAUAAUUAUAAAUUUCCCUUAUCAGUCUGUGUGGACUCGAAAGUCUUCAUUGGGUUUGAUAACUUCAUCCACUGAAAACAACGUCAAGUCUAUUCAUCUAGAAUUGUAUUUCCUCAGGGACUGUCAGUGAAUAAUCACCACGACCACCAUGUGGUACUGUAAACCUUUAGGAAGUUUUUUGAUAAAACUGUCCUUUUAUAGGACACAUGUUGAAGCUGUUUCUAAAAACAUAUGGACUGAUUGAUGCACUGUACAAAUACUCGCAACACACUGUAUUUAAUGAGAAAUAUAAGAAAGUAGAAGGACAUUAAAUUAAUGAAUAAAAAAAGCUGAUUUGUUUCUGUAACUGCAAAGUUGCUGUGCAGAUGAUAUCAAAGAUGAGGAGAUUUGCUUGCGUUUCUUAAUUCUCUUAGCCCCUUUAUGCAUACUGUCAAGAUGUUUGACAACCAGGGGGCAGAAAAGCCAAAACUAUAGACAUAAUUCAGUGCAAAUUUUGAAACUCAAAGCCACUUUCCAGAGGUUGAAAUGAAAAUCAAUAAAUCAAAGACGUGAAAACUUCAUUCUGUGAGG